GACCGGCUGCCGGACCUCACGGCGUGUAGGAAAAGCGACGAUGGAGACAAUGCUGUCAUCAUCACGGUGGAGAAGGACCACUUCAUGGAUGCCUUCUUCCAUCAGGGCCAUCAAUGUUGCUUUGAAAGUGAUGCUUUCAAAUGAAAUUGAAAUGCCACCCGUGCUCUGGAACCAGCACUCUGCCUGGAUUUCAGCCUCCAUAGCGACACAGCCAAGAAGUUCAAAUAAUGUUUUUUAUUAAAUUUAAAAAAUGAUAUGUGUA
RNAcentral lists this long non-coding RNA (262 nucleotides) under Rattus norvegicus (Norway rat). RNAcentral describes it as "long non-coding RNA NONRATT007439". The record is from RNAcentral. Lineage: Eukaryota; Metazoa; Chordata; Mammalia; Rodentia; Muridae.